GAUGAACGCUGACAGAAUGCUUAACACAUGCAAGUCUACUUGAACUUCGGUUUGGGUGGCGGACGGGUGAGUAACGCGUAAAGAACUUACCUCACAGUUAGGGACAACAUUUGGAAACGAAUGCUAAUACCUGAUAUUAUGAUUUUAGGGCAUCCUAAGAUUAUGAAAGCUAUAUGCGCUGUGAGAGAGCUUUGCGUCCCAUUAGCUAGUUGGAGAGGUAACGGCUCACCAAGGCGAUGAUGGGUAGCCGGCCUGAGAGGGUGAACGGCCACAAGGGGACUGAGACACGGCCCUUACUCCUACGGGAGGCAGCAGUGGGGAAUAUUGGACAAUGGACCAAAAGUCUGAUCCAGCAAUUCUGUGUGCACGAUGACGUUUUUCGGAAUGUAAAGUGCUUUAAGUUGGGAAGAAAAAAAUGACGGUACCAACAGAAGAAGUGACGGCUAAAUACGU
Molecule: ribosomal RNA, 453 nt
Filed under: uncultured bacterium
Lineage: Bacteria
Description: partial 16S ribosomal RNA
Rfam family: Bacterial small subunit ribosomal RNA
Source: RNAcentral